RNAcentral lists this ribosomal RNA (495 nucleotides) under uncultured bacterium. RNAcentral describes it as "partial 16S ribosomal RNA". It matches the Rfam family "Bacterial small subunit ribosomal RNA", at positions 28 to 507 of the family's 1533-position model. The record is from RNAcentral.
GACGAACGCUGGCGGCGUGCCUAAUACAUGCAAGUAGAACGCUGAAGGAGGAGCUUGCUUCUCUGGAUGAGUUGCGAACGGGUGAGUAACGCGUAGGUAACCUGCCUGGUAGCGGGGGAUAACUAUUGGAAACGAUAGCUAAUACCGCAUAAUAGUAGAUGUUGCAUGACAUUUGCUUAAAAGGUGCAAUUGCAUCACUACCAGAUGGACCUGCGUUGUAUUAGCUAGUUGGUGGGGUAACGGCUCACCAAGGCGACGAUACAUAGCCGACCUGAGAGGGUGAUCGGCCACACUGGGACUGAGACACGGCCCAGACUCCUACGGGAGGCAGCAGUAGGGAAUCUUCGGCAAUGGACGGAAGUCUGACCGAGCAACGCCGCGGGAGGGAAGAAGGGUUUCGGAUCGUAAAGCUCUGUUGUAAGAGAAGAACGAGUGUGAGAGUGGAAAGUUCACACUGUGACGGUAUCUUACCAGAAAGGGACGGCUAACUACGUG